AUUGAACGCUGGCGGCAGGCCUAACACAUGCAAGUCGAGCGGAUGAAGGGAGCUUGCUCCUGGAUUCAGCGGCGGACGGGUGAGUAAUGCCUAGGAAUCUGCCUGGUAGUGGGGGAUAACGUCCGGAAACGGGCGCUAAUACCGCAUACGUCCUGAGGGAGAAAGUGGGGGAUCUUCGGACCUCACGCUAUCAGAUGAGCCUAGGUCGGAUUAGCUAGUUGGUGGGGUAAAGGCCUACCAAGGCGACGAUCCGUAACUGGUCUGAGAGGAUGAUCAGUCACACUGGGACUUGGACACCGUCCCGACUCCUACGGGAGGCAGCCGUUGGGAAUAUUUGACCAUGGGCGAAAGCCUGAUCCAGCCAUGCCGCGUGUGUGAAGAAGGUCUUCGGAUUGUAAAGCACUUUAAGUUGGGAGGAAGGGCAGUAAGUUAAUACCUUGCUGUUUUGACGUUACCAACAGAAUAAGCACCGGCUAACUUCGUG
This 484-nucleotide ribosomal RNA is filed under the name uncultured bacterium. RNAcentral's name for it is "partial 16S ribosomal RNA". It matches the Rfam family "Bacterial small subunit ribosomal RNA", at positions 30 to 507 of the family's 1533-position model. The record is from RNAcentral.